RNAcentral lists this ribosomal RNA (274 nucleotides) under uncultured bacterium. RNAcentral describes it as "partial 16S ribosomal RNA". It matches the Rfam family "Bacterial small subunit ribosomal RNA", at positions 523 to 796 of the family's 1533-position model. The record is from RNAcentral.
CUACGGAGGGUGCGAGCGUUAAUCGGAAUUACUGGGCGUAAAGCGUACGUAGGCGGUUGGUUAAGUUAGAUGUGAAAGCCCCGGGCUUAACCUGGGAACUGCAUUUAAAACUGGCGAACUAGAGUUGAGUAGAGGGGAGUGGAAUUUCAGGUGUAGCGGUGAAAUGCGUAGAGAUCUGAAGGAACACCAGUGGCGAAGGCGACUCCCUGGACUCAAACUGACGCUGAGGUACGAAAGCGUGGGUAGCAAACGGGAUUAGAAACCCUAGUAGUCC